Molecule: ribosomal RNA, 253 nt
Filed under: uncultured bacterium
Lineage: Bacteria
Description: partial 16S ribosomal RNA
Rfam family: Bacterial small subunit ribosomal RNA
Source: RNAcentral
UACGUAGGCAGCGAGCGUUGUUCGGAAUUACUGGGCGUAAAGAGUGUGUAGGCGGUGUUCCCAGUCUGUUGUGAAAUCUCCCGGCUUAACUGGGAGGGUGCAGCGGAAACUAGAAUGCUAGAGGGUGGGAGAGGUAAGCGGAAUUCCUGGUGUAGCGGUGAAAUGCGUAGAUAUCAGGAGGAACACCUGUGGUGUAGACAGCUUACUGGACCACUUCUGACGCUCAGGUGCGAAAGCUAGGGGAGCGAACAGG